GGAGAGGUUUGGAACACUGGGGGUCCCUGAGGAGAGGUUUGGAACACUGGGGGUCCCUGAGGAGAGGUUUGGAACACUGGGGGUCCCUGAGGAGAGGUUUGGAACACUGGGGGUCCCUGAGGAGAGGUUUGGAAUGGCUGGGGGUCCCCAAGGAGAGGUUUGGAACACUGGGGGUCCCUGAGGAGAGGUUUGGAACACUGGGGGUCCCUGAGGAGAGGUUUGGAACACUGGGGGUCCCCAAGGAGAGGUUUGGAACACUGGGGGUCCCCAAGGAGAGGUUUGGAACACUGGGGGUCCCCGAGGAGAGGUUU
Oncorhynchus keta (chum salmon) is the source of this 311-nucleotide long non-coding RNA. RefSeq lists it as uncharacterized. The transcript is spliced from 3 exons. The record is from RefSeq and is a predicted model, not a curated record. Lineage: Eukaryota; Metazoa; Chordata; Actinopteri; Salmoniformes; Salmonidae.